UAGUUUCCCCUUCGGGGGCAACGGUGACAGGUGGUGCAUGGUUGUCGUCAGUCGUGUCGUGAGAUGUUGGGUUAAGUCCCGCAACGAGCGCAACCCUUGAUCUUAGUUGCCAUCAUUUAGUUGGGCACUCUAAGGUGACUGCCGGUGACAAACCGGAGGAAGGUGGGGAUGACGUCAAAUCAUCAUGCCCCUUAUGACCUGGGCUACACACGUGCUACAAUGGACGAUACAAACGGUUGCCAACUCGCGAGAGGGAGCUAAUCCGAUAAAGUCGUUCUCAGUUCGGAUUGUAGGCUGCAACUCGCCUACAUGAAGCCGGAAUCGCUAGUAAUCGCGGAUCAGCAUGCCGCGGUGAAUACGUUCCCGGGUCUUGUACACACCG
Molecule: ribosomal RNA, 382 nt
Filed under: Lysinibacillus macroides
Lineage: Bacteria; Bacillati; Bacillota; Bacilli; Caryophanales; Bacillaceae
Description: bacterial SSU rRNA
Rfam family: Bacterial small subunit ribosomal RNA
Source: RNAcentral